GCUGGGUGCGGUGGCUCACGCCUGUAAUCCCAGCACUUUGGGAGGCUGAGGCAGGUGGAUCACCUGAGGUCAGGAGUUCAAGAUCAGCCUGGCCAACAUGGUGAAACCCUGUCUCUA
Molecule: non-coding RNA, 117 nt
Filed under: Pan troglodytes (chimpanzee)
Lineage: Eukaryota; Metazoa; Chordata; Mammalia; Primates; Hominidae
Source: Rfam by way of RNAcentral